CCUACGGGUGGCUGCAGUGGGGAAUAUUGCGCAAUGGGCGAAAGCCUGACGCAGCGACGCCGCGUGGGCGAUGAAGGCCUUCGGGUUGUAAAGCCCUGUCGGGUGGAACGAACGAUCUGGCGGCGAAUAACCGCCGGGUGUGACGGUACCACCGAAGGAAGCCCCGGCUAACUACGUGCCAGCAGCCGCGGUAAGACGUAGGGGGCGAGCGUUGUUCGGAUUUACUGGGCGUAAAGCGCGCGUAGGCGGCUAAAUCCCUCGGCUUAACCGUGGUCCCGCAUUCGGUAAUGUCUGGGUCGAGUCUAGGGGAGGAAAGCCGAAUUCCCAGUGUAGCGGUGAAAUGCGUAGAUAUUGGGAGGAACACCGGUGGCGAAGGCGGCUUUCCGGACUAGUACUGACGCUGAGGCGCGAAAGCUAGGGGAGCGAACGGGAUUAGAUACCCGGGUAGUC
Molecule: ribosomal RNA, 450 nt
Filed under: uncultured bacterium
Lineage: Bacteria
Description: partial 16S ribosomal RNA
Rfam family: Bacterial small subunit ribosomal RNA
Source: RNAcentral